GACGAACGCUGGCGGCGUGCUUAACACAUGCAAGUCGAACGGUAAGGCCCCAGCUUGCUGGGGUACACGAGUGGCGAACGGGUGAGUAACACGUGGGUGACCUGCCCCGCACUUCGGGAUAAGCCUGGGAAACUGGGUCUAAUACCGGAUAGGACCGCACCGUGAGGGGGGGGGGGAAAGUUUUUCGGUGUGGGAUGGGCCCGCGGCCUAUCAGCUUGUUGGUGGGGUAAUGGCCUACAAAGGCGGCGACGGGUAGCCGGCCUGCGAGGGUGGAGGGCCACAUUGGGACUGGGAAACGGCCCAGACUCUUACGGGAGGCAGCGGUGGGGAAUAUUGCACAAUGGGCGGAGGCCGGAUGCAGCGACGCCGCGUGGGGGAUGACGGCCUUCGGGUUGUAAACUCCUUUCACCAUCGACGAAGGUUUUCUGACGGUAGAGGGAGAAGAAACACCGGCUAACUACGU
This 463-nucleotide ribosomal RNA is filed under the name uncultured bacterium. RNAcentral describes it as "partial 16S ribosomal RNA". It matches the Rfam family "Bacterial small subunit ribosomal RNA", at positions 28 to 506 of the family's 1533-position model. The record is from RNAcentral.